GUCUUAAUUGGGCGUUAAGUUGCAGGGUAUAGACCCGAAACCCGGUGAUCUAGCCAUGGGCAGGUUGAAGGUUGGGUAACACUAACUGGAGGACCGAACCGACUAAUGUUGAAAAAUUAGCGGAUGACCUGUGGCUGGGGGUGAAAGGCCAAUCAAACCGGGAGAUAGCUGGUUCUCCCCGAAAGCUAUUUAGGUAGCGCCUCGUGAAUUCAUCUCCGGGGGUAGAGCACUGUUUCGGCUAGGGGGCCAUCCCGGCUUACCAACCCGAUGCAAACUGCGAAUACCGGAGAAUGUUAUCACGGGAGACACACGGCGGGUGCUAACGUCCGUCGUGAAGAGGGAAACAACCCAGACCGCCAGCUAAGGUCCCAAAGUCAUGGUUAAGUGGGAAACGAUGUGGGAAGGCCCAGACAGCCAGGAUGUUGGCUUAGAAGCAGCCAUCAUUUAAAGAAAGCGUAAUAGCUCACUGGUCGAGUCGGCCUGCGCGGAAGAUGUAACGGGGCUAAACCAUGCACCGAAGCUGCGGCAGCGAACGUAUCACCCAAGACAACUUUACGGAGUUGACGAUUGACGGAGCGAAGCGACGUCAAAGCGUUCAUUAAAGUCGAGUUGGCUUAGGGAUACGUUCGUUGGGUAGGGGAGCGUUCUGUAAGCCUGUGAAGGUGUGUCGUGAGGCAUGCU
This 681-nucleotide ribosomal RNA is filed under the name Salmonella enterica subsp. enterica. RNAcentral's name for it is "partial 23S ribosomal RNA". It matches the Rfam family "Bacterial large subunit ribosomal RNA", at positions 681 to 1274 of the family's 2925-position model. The record is from RNAcentral. Lineage: Bacteria; Pseudomonadati; Pseudomonadota; Gammaproteobacteria; Enterobacterales; Enterobacteriaceae.